This 497-nucleotide ribosomal RNA is filed under the name uncultured bacterium. RNAcentral's name for it is "partial 16S ribosomal RNA". It matches the Rfam family "Bacterial small subunit ribosomal RNA", at positions 28 to 507 of the family's 1533-position model. The record is from RNAcentral.
GACGAACGCUGGCGGCGUGCCUAAUACAUGCAAGUCGAGCGAUGAAGUUUGGUGCUUGCACCAAUUUGAAGAGCAGCGAACGGGUGAGUAACGCGUGGGGAAUCUGCCUUUGAGCGGGGGACAACAUUUGGAAACGAAUGCUAAUACCGCAUAAUAACUUUAAACAUAAGUUUUAAGUUUGAAAGAUGCAAUUGCAUCACUCAAAGAUGAUCCCGCGUUGUAUUAGCUAGUUGGUGAGGUAAAGGCUCACCAAGGCGAUGAUACAUAGCCGACCUGAGAGGGUGAUCGGCCACAUUGGGACUGAGACACGGCCCAAACUCCUACGGGAAGCAGCAGUAGGGAAUCUUCGGCAAUGGACGAAAGUCUGACCGAGCAACGCCGCGUGAGUGAAGAAGGUUUUCGGAUCGUAAAACUCUGUUGGUAGAGAAGAACGUUGGUGAGAGUGGAAAGCUCAUCAAGUGACGGUAACUACCCAGAAAGGGACGGCUAACUACGUG